Molecule: ribosomal RNA, 705 nt
Filed under: uncultured organism
Description: bacterial SSU rRNA
Rfam family: Bacterial small subunit ribosomal RNA
Source: RNAcentral
GGAAUGCGUAGAUAUCAAGAGGAACGCCAGAGGCGAAGGCGGUGCGCUUGGGCUUGACCUGACGCUGAGGUGCGAAAGCCAGGGGAGCGAACGGGAUUAGAUACCCCGGUAGUCCUGGCCAUAAACGAUGUCUACUAGAUCUGAGGUGUUCUGACACACUUCUGGUCGAAACAAAAGCGUUAAGUAGACCGCCUGGGGAGUACGGUCGCAAGGCUAAAACUCAAAGGAAUUGACGGGGGCUCACACAAGCGGUGGAGCAUGUUGCUUAAUUCGAUGCAACGCGAAGAACCUUAUCCUGGGCUUGACAUGCUUGGAUGCCCAUCUAGAAAUAGAGUAGGCUGCCCUUCGGGGUGAAACUUGCACAGGUGCUGCAUGGCUGUCGUCAGCUCGUGUCGUGAGAUGUUGGGUUAAGUCCCGUAACGAGCGAAACCCUUGUCGUUAGUUGCCAGCGAGUAAAGUCGGGGACUCUAACGAGACUGCCGGUGUUAAACCGGAGGAAGGUGGGGAUGACGUCAAGUCCUCAUGGCCUUUAUGCCCAGGGCUGCAAACGUGCUACAAUGGCGUGUACAAACCGAUGCAAGACCGCGAGGUGGAGCAAAUCGGAAAAAGCACGCCCCAGUUCGGAUUGGAGUCUGCAACUCGACUCCAUGAAGUUGGAAUCGCUAGUAAUCGCAGCUCAGCAAUGCUGCGGUGAAUGUGUUCCUG